RNAcentral lists this ribosomal RNA (987 nucleotides) under Streptomyces rishiriensis. Its description in RNAcentral is "bacterial SSU rRNA". It matches the Rfam family "Bacterial small subunit ribosomal RNA", at positions 53 to 1064 of the family's 1533-position model. The record is from RNAcentral. Lineage: Bacteria; Bacillati; Actinomycetota; Actinomycetes; Kitasatosporales; Streptomycetaceae.
ACCAUGCAAGUCGAACGAUGAACCACUUCGGUGGGGAUUAGUGGCGAACGGGUGAGUAACACGUGGGCAAUCUGCCCUUCACUCUGGGACAAGCCCUGGAAACGGGGUCUAAUACCGGAUAACACUUCCACUCGCAUGGGUGGAGGUUAAAAGCUCCGGCGGUGAAGGAUGAGCCCGCGGCCUAUCAGCUUGUUGGUGAGGUAAUGGCUCACCAAGGCGACGACGGGUAGCCGGCCUGAGAGGGCGACCGGCCACACUGGGACUGAGACACGGCCCAGACUCCUACGGGAGGCAGCAGUGGGGAAUAUUGCACAAUGGGCGAAAGCCUGAUGCAGCGACGCCGCGUGAGGGAUGACGGCCUUCGGGUUGUAAACCUCUUUCAGCAGGGAAGAAGCGAAAGUGACGGUACCUGCAGAAGAAGCGCCGGCUAACUACGUGCCAGCAGCCGCGGUAAUACGUAGGGCGCAAGCGUUGUCCGGAAUUAUUGGGCGUAAAGAGCUCGUAGGCGGUCUGUCGCGUCGGAUGUGAAAGCCCGGGGCUUAACCCCGGGUCUGCAUUCGAUACGGGCAGACUAGAGUGUGGUAGGGGAGAUCGGAAUUCCUGGUGUAGCGGUGAAAUGCGCAGAUAUCAGGAGGAACACCGGUGGCGAAGGCGGAUCUCUGGGCCAUUACUGACGCUGAGGAGCGAAAGCGUGGGGAGCGAACAGGAUUAGAUACCCUGGUAGUCCACGCCGUAAACGGUGGGAACUAGUGUUGGCGACAUUCCACGUCGUCGGUGCCGCAGCUAACGCAUUAAGUUCCCCGCCUGGGGAGUACGCCGCAAGGCUAAACUCAAAGGAAUUGACGGGGGCCCGCACAAGCAGCGGAGCAUGUGCUUAAUUCGACGCAACGCGAGAACCUUACCAUGCUUGACAUACACCGGAACGGCCAGAGAUGGUCGCCCCCCUUGUGGUCGGUGUACAGUGUGCAUGCUGUCGUCAGCUUCGUG